RNAcentral lists this ribosomal RNA (421 nucleotides) under uncultured bacterium. RNAcentral's name for it is "bacterial SSU rRNA". It matches the Rfam family "Bacterial small subunit ribosomal RNA", at positions 9 to 428 of the family's 1533-position model. The record is from RNAcentral.
GAGUUUGAUCGUGGCUCAGAGUGAACGCUGGCGGUAGGCCUAACACAUGCAAGUCGAACGGCAGCACAGAGGAGCUUGCUCCUUGGGUGGCGAGUGGCGGACGGGUGAGGAAUACAUCGGAAUCUACUCUGUCGUGGGGGAUAACGUAGGGAAACUUACGCUAAUACCGCAUACGACCUACGGGUGAAAGCAGGGGAUCUUCGGACCUUGCGCGAUUGAAUGAGCCGAUGUCGGAUUAGCUAGUUGGCGGGGUAAAGGCCCACCAAGGCGACGAUCCGUAGCUGGUCUGAGAGGAUGAUCAGCCACACUGGAACUGAGACACGGUCCAGACUCCUACGGGAGGCAGCAGUGGGGAAUAUUGGACAAUGGGCGCAAGCCUGAUCCAGCCAUACCGCGUGGGUGAAGAAGGCCUCGGUUGUAA